RNAcentral lists this ribosomal RNA (1193 nucleotides) under metagenome. Its description in RNAcentral is "bacterial SSU rRNA". It matches the Rfam family "Bacterial small subunit ribosomal RNA", at positions 298 to 1521 of the family's 1533-position model. The record is from RNAcentral.
GGGUGAUCCCCCACAAUGGAACUGAAACACGGUCCAUACAUCUACGGAUGGCAGCAGUAGGGAAUAUUGCACAAUGGGCGAAAGCCUGAUGCAGCAACGCCGCGUGUGCGAUGAAGGCCUUCGGGUUGUAAAGCACUUUUCUGAGGGAGGAGGAAGGACGGUACCUCAGGAAUAAGUCUCGGCUAACUACGUGCCAGCAGCCGCGGUAACACGUAGGAGGCAAGCGUUAUCCGGAUUUACUGGGCGUAAAGCGCGUGCAGGCGGUUUGGUAAGUUGGAUGUGAAAGCUCCUGGCUUAACUGGGAGAGGUCGUUCAAUACUGCCAAACUAGAGGACGGUAGAGGAAGGUAGAAUUCCUGGUGUAGUGGUGAAAUGCGUAGAUAUCAGGAGGAAUACCAGUGGCGAAGGCGGCCUUCUGGGCCGUUCCUGACGCUAAGACGCGAAAGCAUGGGUAGCGAACGGGAUUAGAAACCCCGGUAGUCCAUGCUGUAAACGAUGCAAACUAGGUGUUGGUGGUGUAAAAGCCAUCAGUGCCGCAGCUAACGCGAUAAGUUUGCCGCCUGGGGACUACGGCCGCAAGGUUAAAACUCAGAGGAAUUGACGGGUUCCCGCACAAGCAGCGGAGCGUGUGGUUUAAUUCGACUACGCGAAGAACCUUACCUGGGCUUGACAUAUAGGUGGUAGGAGACCGAAAGGCGACCGACCCUUCGGGGAGCCUAUACAGGUGCUGCAUGGCUGUCGUCAGCUCGUGUCGUGAGAUGUCCGGUUAAGUCCGGUAACAAGCGCAACCCUUGCCGUAUGUUAUACGUGUCAUACGGGACUGCCGAUAUAAAAUCGGGGGAAGGAGGGGAUGACGUCAAGUCAGCAUGGCCUUUAUGUCCAGGGCUACACACACGCUACAAUGGCCAGUACAAUAGGUUGCAAAGCCGCGAGGCGGAGCCAAUCCUCAAAGCUGGCCUCAGUUCGGAUUGCAGGCUGCAACUCGCCUGCAUGAAGCCGGAGUUGCUGGUAAACGCGCGUCAGCAACAGUGCGUUGAAUACGUUCCCGGGAAUUGUACACACCGCCCGUCACGUCAUGGAAGCUGGAAACACUUAAAGUCAGUAUCCUAACCCUAACGGGAGGGAGCUGCCAAAGGUGGGUCUGGUAACUGGGGCGAAGUCGUAACAAGGUAGGUGUAGCGAAGCUGCGCCUGG